UCACAGUGGCCUGGUGACUGACACCAACU
RNAcentral lists this non-coding RNA (29 nucleotides) under Rattus norvegicus (Norway rat). Lineage: Eukaryota; Metazoa; Chordata; Mammalia; Rodentia; Muridae. The record is from RNAcentral.